UUAAAACAUCAGGAGUGGUUUCUACAUUGAGACCCACUAACCGAGCCUAAGAGCUGCGGUAGUUAUGUUCAUUAAACGGAGGAUGCGCCUUGGAAGAGGAAAAAGUGGAACCGCC
This 115-nucleotide non-coding RNA is filed under the name Fidelibacterota (SAR406 cluster). RNAcentral's name for it is "Candidatus Marinimicrobia SAM-I-IV sequence". It matches the Rfam family "SAM-I/IV (S-adenosyl methionine) riboswitch aptamer". From Rfam's summary of the family: It is found upstream of a number of genes which code for proteins involved in methionine or cysteine biosynthesis. Lineage: Bacteria; Pseudomonadati. The record is from RNAcentral.